Molecule: ribosomal RNA, 450 nt
Filed under: uncultured bacterium
Lineage: Bacteria
Description: bacterial SSU rRNA
Rfam family: Bacterial small subunit ribosomal RNA
Source: RNAcentral
AACGAACGCUGGCGGCAGGCUUAACACAUGCAAGUCGAACGCUCGUAGCAAUACGGGAGUGGCGGACGGGUGAGUAACGCGUGGGAACGUGCCCUGAGGUACGGAAUAACUGCGGGAAACUGCAGCUAAUACCGUAUGAGCCCCGUGAGGGGGAAAGAUUUAUCGCCUUAGGGAGCGGCCCGCGUCGGAUUAGCUAGUUGGUGGGGUAACGGCUUACCAAGGCUUCGAUCCGUAGCUGGUCUGAGAGGACGAUCAGCCACACUGGGACUGAGACACGGCCCAGACUCCUACGGGAGGCAGCAGUGGGGAAUCUUGCGCAAUGGGGGCAACCCUGACGCAGCCAUGCCGCGUGAAUGAUGAAGGCCUUAGGGUUGUAAAGUUCUUUUGCCCGUGACGAUGAUGACGGUAACGGGAGAAUAAGCUCCGGCUAACUUCGUGCCAGCAGCCGCG